Molecule: long non-coding RNA, 817 nt
Organism: Piliocolobus tephrosceles (Ugandan red Colobus)
Lineage: Eukaryota; Metazoa; Chordata; Mammalia; Primates; Cercopithecidae
Exons: 4
Source: RefSeq, a predicted model, not a curated record
AGACCAGGAAAGUAACAGGAAAUGGAUAUCGCUGCUGGAGACAAUGACUACUUUAAGCAGAGUAGGAGAAAAAAUUUUCUUUUCCUUUGUGCCAGUUCCUUUUACACAACUUCAGAACAUUCUAUGACAACCCAGUGUGCAACUUGACACUGUCAGAAGAGACCUGGGAAAGAAAGAAAAUGCGUUUUUCAGAACUUUACUAGAAGUAGUUGAUCCAUAAGGCAAUAUUGGAUGUGGUGGUUUCCGGUCACCCACCGUGACACUGCGGUGACUGGUCUGCUGCCUGGCCUUCAAGUAGAUCUGGACCCCACACAGUCCCCAUGUACAGCUGAUACCAGGCUGAAAUAGAUCAGGUGGUUGAGGAACUAAGCCAGUGUCAGGUGGCACACCAGACUGCCAAAGUGGAGACUUGGAUGAACACAGGAAGAUUAUGGAGCAAUACUUGAAGCCCAAAUGAAGCUCAGGACCCAGAGACUUCUCAAAACUUAUCUUCAAUGCUCGAACUCUUCUGCAGCCACCUGUUUCUACUGGAGUUUAGCCAGGUUCCAACUCUGUAGGUAUACCUCGGUCAUUUAGCAUCUGUUCCAUCUUUGAGACUGAGUUUCCAGAAGACCCGAUUCAACCAGAAGCAAAAGACAGUGGCCAAGAAGAUGGCACAGCAUAAGAAUUUGGGAAAUGGAUAAAAACAUCCCAGAGACAUCCAACAAUUAGUAACCAUGUGAACAGAUUCUGUAAUAUUGGGUCUAUUGGGCUCUGCGGGAAGGUAUUCCCUUUGGAAAUGACUGAAAUGGAGAUUUUGAACCACUUUCAAUGACAC